UACGGAGGAUCCAAGCGUUAUCCGGAAUCAUUUGGUUUAAAGGGUCCGUAGGCGGUCUAGUAAGUCAGUGGUGAAAGCCCAUCGCUCAACGGUGGAACGGCCAUUGAUACUGCUGGACUUGAAUUAUUGGGAAGCAACUAGAAUAUGUAGUGUAGCGGUGAAAUGCUUAGAGAUUACAUGGAAUACCAAUUGCGAAGGCAGGUUGCUACCAAUUGAUUGACGCUGAUGGACGAAAGCGUGGGUAGCGAACAGG
This 253-nucleotide ribosomal RNA is filed under the name uncultured bacterium. RNAcentral's name for it is "partial 16S ribosomal RNA". It matches the Rfam family "Bacterial small subunit ribosomal RNA", at positions 524 to 776 of the family's 1533-position model. The record is from RNAcentral.